RNAcentral lists this ribosomal RNA (1437 nucleotides) under uncultured organism. Its description in RNAcentral is "16S ribosomal RNA". It matches the Rfam family "Bacterial small subunit ribosomal RNA". The record is from RNAcentral.
CUAGCUACAGGCUUAACACAUGCAAGUCGAGGGGCAUCAGGAAGAAAGCUUGCUUUCUUUGCUGGCGACCGGCGCACGGGUGAGUAACACGUAUCCAACCUGCCCUUUACUCGGGGAUAGCCUUUCGAAAGAAAGAUUAAUACCCGAUAGCAUAAUGAUUCCGCAUGGUUUCAUUAUUAAAGGAUUCCGGUAAAGGAUGGGGAUGCGUUCCAUUAGGUUGUUGGUGAGGUAACGGCCCACCAAGCCUUCGAUGGAUAGGGGUUCUGAGAGGAAGGUCCCCCACAUUGGAACUGAGACACGGUCCAAACUCCUACGGGAGGCAGCAGUGAGGAAUAUUGGUCAAUGGGCGCUAGCCUGAACCAGCCAAGUAGCGUGAAGGAUGAAGGCUCUAUGGGUCGUAAACUUCUUUUAUAUAAGAAUAAAGUGCAGUAUGUAUACUGUUUUGUAUGUAUUAUAUGAAUAAGGAUCGGCUAACUCCGUGCCAGCAGCCGCGGUAAUACGGAGGAUCCGAGCGUUAUCCGGAUUUAUUGGGUUUAAAGGGAGCGUAGGUGGACUGGUAAGUCAGUUGUGAAAGUUUGCGGCUCAACCGUAAAAUUGCAGUUGAUACUGUCAGUCUUGAGUACAGUAGAGGUGGGCGGAAUUCGUGGUGUAGCGGUGAAAUGCUUAGAUAUCACGAAGAACUCCGAUUGCGAAGGCAGCUCACUGGACUGCAACUGACACUGAUGCUCGAAAGUGUGGGUAUCAAACAGGAUUAGAUACCCUGGUAGUCCACACAGUAAACGAUGAAUACUCGCUGUUUGCGAUAUACAGUAAGCGGCCAAGCGAAAGCAUUAAGUAUUCCACCUGGGGAGUACGCCGGCAACGGUGAAACUCAAAGGAAUUGACGGGGGCCCGCACAAGCGGAGGAACAUGUGGUUUAAUUCGAUGAUACGCGAGGAACCUUACCCGGGCUUAAAUUGCAGUGGAAUGAUGUGGAAACAUGUCAGUGAGCAAUCACCGCUGUGAAGGUGCUGCAUGGUUGUCGUCAGCUCGUGCCGUGAGGUGUCGGCUUAAGUGCCAUAACGAGCGCAACCCUUAUCUUUAGUUACUAACAGGUUAUGCUGAGGACUCUAGAGAGACUGCCGUCGUAAGGUGUGAGGAAGGUGGGGAUGACGUCAAAUCAGCACGGCCCUUACGUCCGGGGCUACACACGUGUUACAAUGGGGGGUACAGAAGGCAGCUAGCGGGUGACCGUAUGCUAAUCCCAAAAUCCUCUCUCAGUUCGGAUCGAAGUCUGCAACCCGACUUCGUGAAGCUGGAUUCGCUAGUAAUCGCGCAUCAGCCACGGCGCGGUGAAUACGUUCCCGGGCCUUGUACACACCGCCCGUCAAGCCAUGGGAGCCGGGGGUACCUGAAGUACGUAACCGCAAGGAUCGUCCUAGGGUAAAACUGGUGACU